UACGUAGGGGGCUAGCGUUGUCCGGAAUCAUUGGGCGUAAAGCGCGUGUAGGCGGUUCGGUAAGUCCGCUGUGAAAGUCGGGGGCUCAACCCUCGAAUGCCGGUGGAUACUGUCGAACUAGAGUGCGGAAGAGGCGAGUGGAAUUCCUGGUGUAGCGGUGAAAUGCGCAGAUAUCAGGAGGAACACCAAUUGCGAAGGCAGCUCGCUGGGACGUAACUGACGCUGAGGAGCGAAAGCCAGGGGAGCAAACGGG
This 253-nucleotide ribosomal RNA is filed under the name uncultured bacterium. RNAcentral describes it as "partial 16S ribosomal RNA". It matches the Rfam family "Bacterial small subunit ribosomal RNA", at positions 524 to 776 of the family's 1533-position model. The record is from RNAcentral.